UACGUAGGGUGCAAGCGUUGUCCGGAUUUACUGGGCGUAAAGGGCGCGUAGGCGGCGCGACAAGUCACUUGUGAAAUCUCCGGGCUUAACCCGGAGCGGCCAAGUGAUACUGUAGUGCUAGAGUGCGGAAGGGGCUACUGGAAUUCUCGGUGUAGCGGUGAAAUGCGUAGAUAUCGAGAGGAACACCUGCGGCGAAGGCGGGUAGCUGGGCCGACACUGACGCUGAGGCGCGAAAGCCAGGGGAGCGAACGGG
RNAcentral lists this ribosomal RNA (253 nucleotides) under uncultured bacterium. RNAcentral's name for it is "partial 16S ribosomal RNA". It matches the Rfam family "Bacterial small subunit ribosomal RNA", at positions 524 to 776 of the family's 1533-position model. The record is from RNAcentral.